Molecule: ribosomal RNA, 200 nt
Filed under: uncultured bacterium
Lineage: Bacteria
Description: partial 16S ribosomal RNA
Rfam family: Bacterial small subunit ribosomal RNA
Source: RNAcentral
AACGAACGCUGGCGGCAGGCUUAACACAUGCAAGUCGAACGCCCCGCAAGGGGAGUGGCAGACGGGUGAGUAACGCGUGGGAAUCUACCCAUCUCUACGGAAUAACUCAGGGAAACUUGUGCUAAUACCGUAUACGCCCUUCGGGGAAAGAUUUAUCGGAGAUGGAUGAGCCCGCGUUGGAUUAGCUAGUUGGUGGGGUA